CGGUAAUUCCAGCUCCAAUAGCGUAUACUAAAGUUGUUGCAGUUAAAAAGCUCGUAGUUGGAUUUCUGCGGGGACGGAGCGGCCGGACGCAACUUGCGUCUCGAGCUAGCGCUUUCCCCGCAUCCUGCCGCGAACCGUGCUACCAUUAGCUUGGUGGCGCUGGGGAUCGGCUCGAUUACUUUGAGAAAAAUAGAGUGUUCAAAGCAGGCCACACGCCUUGAAUAAGUUAGCAUGGAAUAAUGACUAAGGACUUCGGUUCUAUUUUGUUGGUGUUCGGGACUGAAGUAAUGAUUGAUAGGGACAGUUGGGGCGGUCUGUAUUCCAAAGCGAGAGGUGAAAUUCUUAGACCUUCGGAAGACAAACAGCUGCGAAAGCGUUCCGCAAGGAUGUUCCCCUUGAUCAAGAACGAAAGUUGGGGGAUCGAAGACGAUCAGAUACCGUCGUAGUCUCAACUAUAAACUAUACCAGCUAGGGAUCGGUCAACGUUUAAUCAUUCGACUUGAUCGGCACCUUAUGAGAAAUCAAAGCAUCUGGGUUCCGGGGGGAGUAUGGUCGCAAGGCUGAAACUUAAAGGAAUUGACGGAAGGGCACCACCAGCCGUGGAGCCUGUGGCUUAAUUUGACUCAACACGGGAAAACUUACCAGGUCCAGACAUAGUAAGGAUUGACAGAUUGAUAGCUCUUUCUUGAUUCUGUGGGUGGUGGUGCAUGGCCGUUCUUAGUUGGUGGAGUGAUUUGUCUGGUUAAUUCCGUUAACGAACGAGACCCCAGCCUGCUAAAUAGCGCGGCUGAGCUUUGCUCGGUGCGAGCUUCUUAGAGGGACUAUGAUGCGCGAUAGCACAUGGAAGUUUGGGGCAAUAACAGGUCUGUGAUGCCCUUAGAUGUUCUGGGCCGCACACGGGCUACACUGGCGCCUGCAACGAGCAUAUCAGCUGGCCCGAGAGGGUCUUGGCUAAUCUUUUGAACCGGCGCCGUGCUUGGGAUUGACCAUUGCAAUUGUUGGUCAUGCAACGAGGAAUGCCUUGUAAACGCGAGUCAUCAGCUCGCAUUGAAUACGUCCCUGCCCUUUGUACACACCGCCCGUCGCUCCUACCGAUGAAUGUUCCGAUGAAACUUUCGGAGAGCGCCAGAGAACGGGGCUCUGCCUUGCAGAUCUGGAGGCUCAAAGUCACUUAAAUCUGAACAUUUCGAGGAAGGAGAAGUCGUAACAAGGUAGCCG
Molecule: ribosomal RNA, 1218 nt
Filed under: uncultured Rhizaria
Lineage: Eukaryota
Description: SSU rRNA
Rfam family: Eukaryotic small subunit ribosomal RNA
Source: RNAcentral